RNAcentral lists this ribosomal RNA (254 nucleotides) under uncultured bacterium. RNAcentral's name for it is "partial 16S ribosomal RNA". It matches the Rfam family "Bacterial small subunit ribosomal RNA", at positions 524 to 776 of the family's 1533-position model. The record is from RNAcentral.
UACGGGGGGGGCAAGCGUUGUUCGGAAUCACUGGGCGUAAAGGGCGCGUAGGCGGCCUUGCAAGUCGGUUGGUGAAAGCCCGGGGCUCAACCCCGGAGGUGCGGCCGAGACUGCAGGGCUGGAGGCCGGAAGAGGAGGGUGGAAUACCCAGUGUAGAGGUGAAAUUCGUAGAUAUUGGGUGGAACACCGGUGGCGAAAGCGGCUCUCUGGUCCGGACCUGACGCUGAGGCGCGAAAGCGUGGGGAGCAAACAGG